GGGGUCGACUCAUGCCUGGGGGUCGACUCAUGAGGGUCGACUCACAGGGUGUGCCAAUCAGCUCAUUGUGCCAUGAGUUGACUCACGGGUUGACUCAUGAUUUUCAAACAUGCAUAACUUUCAAAAUACAAGUCCAAAAUCAAUAAAAUUUUCACCAUUGGAUCACAAAUCUUUUGUUCUACCAAAUGAUACUAUCAAA
RNAcentral lists this long non-coding RNA (199 nucleotides) under Elaeis guineensis (African oil palm). Its description in RNAcentral is "long non-coding RNA (EGUI_LNC082978)". Lineage: Eukaryota; Viridiplantae; Streptophyta; Magnoliopsida; Arecales; Arecaceae. The record is from RNAcentral.